RNAcentral lists this long non-coding RNA (568 nucleotides) under Lotus japonicus. RNAcentral describes it as "long non-coding RNA (LJAP_LNC000209)". The record is from RNAcentral. Lineage: Eukaryota; Viridiplantae; Streptophyta; Magnoliopsida; Fabales; Fabaceae.
GUUUUACCAAAUUUGUGGGUAAUGAGCUCCUCACUGACAGAUUGAAGCAAAGAAAAAAUGGUGGGAACUCCGAUUACUCCGAUUAAUGGAAGAACAAGGCUUUCUUUUGGUGUUGUAAAUGGUGGCCAUGACCUUGGCCCAAGUAGCACUCCACCAAGCAAUGCUGGGUCUGAUUAUGGCAGUGUUGAGUUCACAAGAGAGGAUGUGGAGGCCUUGCUGAAUGAAAAAUCUAAAAGGAAAGACAGAUUUAACUAUAAGGUUAGUUAAAGUUUGUAGCUUUACUUUCAUUCAAUUUGCAUCAUGUGUAUUUUUUCAUUGCUUGUUUUGGUAAUGAGCUCCUCACUGACAGAUUGAAGCAAAGAAAAAAUGGUGGGAACUCCGAUUACUCCGAUUAAUGGAAGAACAAGGCUUUCUUUUGGUGUUGUAAAUGGUGGCCAUGACCUUGGCCCAAGUAGCACUCCACCAAGCAAUGCUGGGUCUGAUUAUGGCAGUGUUGAGUUCACAAGAGAGGAUGUGGAGGCCUUGCUGAAUGAAAAAUCUAAAAGGAAAGACAGAUUUAACUAUAAGG